RNAcentral lists this ribosomal RNA (467 nucleotides) under uncultured bacterium. RNAcentral's name for it is "partial 16S ribosomal RNA". It matches the Rfam family "Bacterial small subunit ribosomal RNA", at positions 28 to 506 of the family's 1533-position model. The record is from RNAcentral.
GACGAACGCUGGCGGCGUGCUUAACACAUGCAAGUCGAACGGAAAGGCCCUGCUUUUGUGGGGUGCUCGAGUGGCGAACGGGUGAGUAACACGUGAGUAACCUGCCCUUGACUUUGGGAUAACUUCAGGAAACUGGGGCUAAUACCGGAUAGGAGCUCCUGCUGCAUGGUGGGGGUUGGAAAGUUUCGGCGGUUGGGGAUGGACUCGCGGCUUAUCAGCUUGUUGGUGGGGUAGUGGCUUACCAAGGCUUUGACGGGUAGCCGGCCUGAGAGGGUGACCGGCCACAUUGGGACUGAGAUACGGCCCAGACUCCUACGGGAGGCAGCAGUGGGGAAUAUUGCACAAUGGGCGGAAGCCGGAUGCAGCAACGCCGCGUGCGGGAUGACGGCCUUCGGGUUGGAAACCGCUUUCGCCUGUGACGAAGCGUGAGUGACGGUAAUGGGCAAAGAAGCACCGGCUAAUUACGU